UAGCUCCAUUUUGGCCUUCCAGUGGUGAAAGUUGUCACCUUUGAACUUUUCAACCAUUCUCAAGCUAUCACCCUCAAAAGAUGCCAUCUCAAGCUACACGUAGGUCCAAAAAACUCUUGAUUUGGAGUUGUAAUGGAGAAGAUAUCACUACUCAAAGAUCGCUGAACCACAAACCCAGAAUUCGCUGUUUUGCAACUUUUUGUAAAUUAUGAGUCCAAAUCACGUCUAA
RNAcentral lists this long non-coding RNA (229 nucleotides) under Physcomitrium patens. Its description in RNAcentral is "long non-coding RNA (PPAT_LNC000514)". Lineage: Eukaryota; Viridiplantae; Streptophyta; Bryopsida; Funariales; Funariaceae. The record is from RNAcentral.